UCCAUCCAUGUUGCAAAUGACAAGAUUUCCUUCUUAUGGCUGAACAAUAUCCAUACACACAUGCAUACACACCCAUGUAUUUACACACACACUUCUUUAUCCAAAUGAUACUUCCAAGGUGAACUUCGCACAUUGUUUUCCAGAUACUUGCGGUGUCUUCCCUAUAAAUUGGACAAUGCUUCCCACUUUUCUGCCCUUCUAGCCAUCUUGUCUCCAUUACCAUUUACCUGAGAAUAGCGAUACGUACUAGCUAUAGAUACCUAACGGAAAACUAGCACCAAGAAAUGAGGAAGCCAAAGCCAAGUGUUUUAAAUUCCUUUUAGAUCCAUUGCUCACUCUUAAUACCCAGAGCAUGUAGAUUCUUCUUUUCUUGGCUGCUUCUAGAAGCUUGCUAGGUGUGGAAGCAACAUACCCCACUGUAGUUCCUGGUACUGAUUACUCCAAAGGAAUUUUUUUUUCUUGCCUCCCCUCCCACCCACCUACAGGACUGUGGGGAUCUGGGCUCUGGGUGUUGACAGGACCUCCACAGUGUUGCCCUUGGUGAGUUGGAAAACUGACCAUAAAGUUUGCAAGUGUGGAGUCAUGAACCUGGCUUCAAAUCCCAGCUGUGCCAUGUACCAGCUGGGCAAAUUACAUCUGCCUUAAGGUCAGCAGUAAGGAUUGGAAAGCAUUUGUAUAAACAGCCUAGGAUAGUGUCUGGAAUGUUACUGACACAUCACGGGCACCAGUUGCACAAGUCACAGAAGUGGAUGCAGUAUUGGAGGCCAGUUCAUCAUUCAUUCAUCUUAUUCCAAGUAUCCCUGCUCUUUUUCUCCCUGAGUACUUUUCAGGAGAUGUGAAAUAAUUUAAUUCAAUCAAUUAAAAAUUGUGAUCAAACAUCUACUGAGUGCCAGGCCAUGUAAAUAGAGGACUGAACAAAACAAAGGGAAUCCACAAUGCUAAGUACUACAGACAUGGAGGGUAAGGUGAUGGGGCAUGACAGCGGCAGGAGAGAAGGAGGAACACCAGAAGGGCUCAGGGAAAGUGUGUCCAAAGAAGUAACAUUUGAGCAGACAUCUAAAGAGCUGGAGGGAGACAGUCCUGUUGGGAAUUGGCAAAACAGCAUUUGUCCAGGCAGUUGGAACCUGUGCAGAGGCUCUGAAGUAAGAGCAGUUUCACACAGUCAAGGGUCAGCAAGGAGGCCAGUGGGCUAGAGGAGAGUGAGCCAAGGAGAGGAGGCCGGAGGGGCAUUGGAUCCCAGAGACCUCAGUGGUCCAGGUGUAAGUCAGCAUCUUCAUUGUACACGUGGGGAGGAAAAGGUCAAGCCAAUCUAGUUCUAAAACCUAAAUUGAAACCACUUUGUGCUGCAGUCCCUGGAGUUAUGCAAGGUGUAGUUUGUGUAGCUACACAGUCCCCUUACUUCUGAUCACAUGCUAUUUCACUUCCUUUUUCUUUUACUUUUUUUCUUAUAAAAAAAAAGUGUUUAUUGGGAUGGUUCCCACUCAUCUUGGUUCAGAGUGCUGCCUCUGUCUGAAGGAGCCACCUUAUGCAAGUUUUGCCUUUCCUCCUGUGGGCUGGCAGAGGACAGUGGAGCAGCUGCUGUUUGCACCUGGCUACAGAGAGUGCUGACUGUAUAGCCUGGCGGGCACUCCACAUCCACGGAGCGCAGGAACAGGGGCUGUGCAUCGGGCGCUUCUUGUGCUUUUCUUCUCUCCUGCAGAGGGAUGACGGAGAUCUUUGCAUGAGGCAAGUUCUAGUGGGAGGUCAUCCCUGCCGGAAAGGUCAUCCCCUUUGCAAAGGAAGGGCUCUUCCUUCUGAGUACCAGCUGCCAUUUAGACCCAGCACGAGCUAGUAUCCCAUGUUCACCAAGGGCAAAAGAACUGCUCUCUUCCCCUCACUUGGGCUGGGUGGAAAUGACACAGAGUUGGAAACCAAAUGGUCAGGACUCAGCUUCCUCAUCUCAUGUUUGGUGAAUUUUGGCAAGCCUCUCAGCCCUUUGGGGCUCAAUUCCUCACCUGAAGGGAAAUGCAGGGUAAGUUUUACCCCUGCCAGGCUCGCGCUAGUAAAGCUGCUUCUAGCUGGGUGAGGGCACCUAAACUUAUGUGUCUUCAUUGUCAACACCAGGUGGCGCUGUGCUCUUUGCUUUUCAACUUGAAAUUUUCCUUGGGUUUGCCAUGUAUAUUAGUAUUGGCCAGAAAAGUCUGUAUCAUUUAUUUUCUUAAAUCUAAACAGUUUGUGGAAUUCCAGCCCAACAGUAUCUGUUGCUGCCAGGAGCAAAGAAGAAAAGAAAACAACAUGCUGUUUAGGCCCCAGGGAGCAAGUUGUAAGAUGAGGAAACUGAGGCAUCUAGAGAGAGAGGAAGUGCCUUGCCUUGCAGACGGCAGUGCCAGUGUUCAAACUCAAGCCUGUCUGACUCAAGAUUCAUGUUCUUUCUGUUGUGUCCACAGCCUUGAUUUAAAGAUGUGCCUAUGAAACUGUCACCCCAAUCAACAUGACCUUAGAUCUUACCCAAGAGACUUGUCCAGGAUCAUAUAUCAGGGACCACUGGAUGCCACACCUGUCCUUGAACCUCUGCAACCUCCAGCUAUGCCUGCUGACAAUGAAGACCUGCUGCCUUUGUGCUGACUUCCUUGUACAGCCCUGAAAGUCCCCCAAAAGCUGUGUGAUUAUUCUUUCUUUGUGUACCAGCCUCACCCCAAGGAUGGGAGUGUCCAGAGGGCAGGGACUUGCUGUCAUUAUGAGCAUCCUCCAGUCUUCCACACUUGUGCCCAACAGGCAUGAGUCAACUGGGCACGUUGAUGCAUCAGUUCAUUUUUCCUACCAGGAAGCAUUCAGGGGUGUUGCAAGAUGCUUAUACCUUUCAGUUUUGUUUGGGACAGUGGCCCCAGCCCCUGAGCCAACCCCAUUAGGUUCUGGUUGUAGGGCUGGCAGAAACUGGUAGGGGCACUGUCUGCCCCCUGGGGAAUUGUGCUGUUAUACAGGACAGUAGGAGUGGUGAAAUCAGGAAGCCCAGGUCAGAAAGCAAUGAAAUGCUGGCCAGAACACAUGGUCCUGAAAGGGAAAAUCAAUCACACAGUGGGCUCAGAAGAUUUCAGAAAGUGGAGCUUGAGGGGAACCUGGGUGGCUCAGUUGGUUAAGCGUUUGACUCUUGAUUUCAGCUCAGGUCAUGACCUCAUGGUUGUGAGGUGGAGCUCUGUGUUGGACUCUGUGCUGACAGCAUGGAGCUUGCUCGGGAUUCUCUCUGUCCCUCUCUUUCUGUCCCUCCCUUGAUCGUGCUCUCUCUCUGUCUCAAAAUAAAUAAAAAUUUAAAAGAAGAAGAAAGAAAACAGAGCUUGCUUGGGCAAGAGGUACAGGGCUAAGACUGAAUUAAGCAAAGGUGUAGGAGGGUCUCUUGAGGUUGGUGUGCUGGAAAGACCCGUGGGCGGACAUGGUGUGUGUCUGUUACAUAAUUUCCCAAUGGUCAUUGAACUUGGGCCGAGCACCAAGACCAAGAUCCUCCUUCCUCCCCCUUCCUUCCAGGCAGCCAGAAAGCCCAGGGUCUCAGCUGAGUGGAUUAACUACUAAAUCAUCACAUAAGAAGCCCAACUUAAGACUUAGGGGAUGGCACCAAGUCUGGAUUUUGCUAGAACUUCUCUCAUCCACUGCCAAGACAGCUUCCUUUGAGGACGGCCCUAACCACAUGUCGGCCAUGCCUCACUUUGGUGUCAGGAUGGCUGUGCCCGCAGCCCCUUCUAUGGACUGACACUUGCCUGACAGUCCAGCCCUGAGAUCUGGGAUUUUCCAUCUUUUUGUUCCCAGAUGGCCCCAUCUGAGGCCCUAGACCUUUAGGAAUGUGUUUUGCCUAGGUCCCAGGGGUGACACUAAUGAGUUCUGAGUUCCCUUCCGUUCUCUCUGGCUGGGAUGUGGUUCUGAGUGUGGGUGGAGGAAUGCUUGAGUGUGGUUCUUGUUUGCAUCUUUGGAAAUCCUUUGGCAGGAAAGGAGGCCGGGACUCAGUGUCUAUUCUAACAGGAGCUGCUUUGGGGGUUCUAGUCGACAGGGAGGUGGGUCUUUGAAGAACUGGGGAGGAAGAAGAGUUGGUUUUUGUUUCUACUCCAACCCCUACUUUUGUUUCAUGCCAUUGCAUUGCCUCUCUCAGGGGUAGUUAAAAUCUUAUUUUUAAGCAGGUUUCUGGUCCACCACCAUUUAUUGUGUGGCCUGGGGCCACCUACUGUGCCUCAGAUACCUCACCUGGCUGUGCUGCUUCCAGCUUAGUGAUUCGAAGCUUCUCUGAGCUCUAAACCUGCCAGUCUCUGAAAAGAAACCAUAAUUAUCCUCACUUUCCAAAAACAAAGGACAAGAGCCGAUGUGCAAUUGGUUAUCCCUUCUUCCCCAACGGUGAGCAUGGUUUCUCAGCAGGCAGAAUUAGCAUGAUGGUCUCCCAGGCUGUAGAGAGGAAGAAA
Felis catus (domestic cat) is the source of this 4418-nucleotide long non-coding RNA. RefSeq lists it as uncharacterized. The transcript is spliced from 4 exons. The record is from RefSeq and is a predicted model, not a curated record. NCBI's taxonomy places the organism in Eukaryota, Metazoa, Chordata, Mammalia, Carnivora, Felidae.